ACAAAAACGAAGCUCAGUCAAGUAUUUUGUUCGUGAUUCCCAGAGAGUUCUAGCUUGGUGCAAUAGAAUGUUUUGCGACAAAAGAAAAUCAACUGUAAGUUGCAAUUGCGAAAGGUUUAAUAGUGAUUGCUGGGAUUGCCCAUUAUCGCAAACGAGUAUCGUUAUUGAACUGUACUUAGAGCCGUUUUCUAAAGGAAACGGAAAGAUGGGUGGUAACACGUGUGAGAACGUCCCUGAU
RNAcentral lists this non-coding RNA (238 nucleotides) under Fructilactobacillus florum. Its description in RNAcentral is "Lactobacillus florum T-box sequence". It matches the Rfam family "T-box leader". From Rfam's summary of the family: Uncharged tRNA acts as the effector for transcription antitermination of genes in the T-box leader family. T-boxes are found upstream of many aminoacyl-tRNA synthetase genes and some amino acid biosynthetic genes usually in Gram-positive bacteria. The record is from RNAcentral. Lineage: Bacteria; Bacillati; Bacillota; Bacilli; Lactobacillales; Lactobacillaceae.